RNAcentral lists this ribosomal RNA (2951 nucleotides) under Ruminococcaceae bacterium OttesenSCG-928-O06. RNAcentral describes it as "23S ribosomal RNA". It matches the Rfam family "Bacterial large subunit ribosomal RNA". Lineage: Bacteria; Bacillati; Bacillota; Clostridia; Eubacteriales; Oscillospiraceae. The record is from RNAcentral.
GGUCAAGCUAGAAAGGGCGCAGGGCGAAUGCCUUGGCACUGGGAGCCGAAGAAAGACGUGAUAAGCUGCGAUAAGCCUCGGGGAGGAGCAAAUAUCCAUUGAUCCGGGGAUUUCUGAAUGGGGAAACCCGCAUGGGGUCAUGCCCAUGCAACAUACACUGAAUCCAUAGGUGUAUGUGGGGAACCGCCUGAACUGAAACAUCUAAGUAGGGCGAGGAAGAGAAAUCAACCGAGAUUCCGUAAGUAGUGGCGAGCGAACGCGGAAGAGGCCAAACCGGCGGGAGAAAUCCCACCGGGGUUCGGACCGCAUUUAGGAUCUGCAAUUGUUAGCCGAAGUGUAUGGGAAGGCACACCGAAGAAGGUGAGAGUCCUGUAGGCGAAAACGAGAGCAGCCGAGCGGUAUCCAGAGUACGGCCGGACACGUGAAACCCGGUCGGAACAUGGGGGGACCACCCUCCAAGCCUAAAUACUACCCAGUGACCGAUAGCGUAUAGUACCGUGAGGGAAAGGUGAAAAGGACCCCGGGAGGGGAGUGAAAUAGAACCUGAAACCCUGUGCCUACAAGCACCUAGAGCGCGUCAAUGCGUGAUAGGGUACUUUUUGUAGAACGGUCCGGCGAGCGAAUGUAUGCAGCAAGGUUAAGCAAUUCAGUUGCGAAGCCGUAGCGAAAGCGAGUCUGAAUAGGGCGUGUGAAGUUGCAUGCAUUGAGCCCGAAACCGGGUGACCUAUCCAUGGUCAGGUUGAAGUGGAGGUAAGACUCCAUGGAGGACCGAACCGACCCCCGUUGAAAAGGUGGCGGAUGAACUGUGGAUAGCGGAGAAAUUCUAAUCGAACCCGGAGAUAGCUGGUUCUCCCCGAAAUAGUUUUAGGACUAGCCUUACGUUAGAUACCCGCAGGUAAAGCACUGAAUGGACGCGGGCCCGAGAGGGUACCAACUUCUAUCAAACUCUGAAUGGCGGUGUAUUGAUGCGUAGGAGUCACACAGUGUGAGAUAAGUCUCAUUGUGGAGAGGGAAACAGCCCAGACCCGCGACUAAGGUCCCAAAGUAUGGUUAAGUGGAAAAGGAUGUGGGGUUGCGCAGACAACCAGGAUGUUGGCUUAGAAGCAGCCAUUCAUUCAAAGAGUGCGUAAUAGCUCACUGGUCAAGUGACCCUGCGCCGAAAAUGUAACGGGGCUAAACCAUACACCGAAGUCCGGGCAUUGCCCAGUUCAACAAUGUUCAUCACCAGAAGAAAGGCAAAUUUGGCCGAAGAGCACUGCGAAGCAGUAGUUCUGAGGCGAAAUGGGCCAGCUAAAGCAUACGGUGGUGGCUGUUGUUGAGCUGGGUGAUGGGUAGGGGAGCGUUGUGUACGGGGUGAAGCUGUAGCGUGAGCGGCAGUGGACUGUACACAAGUGAGAAUGCCGGAAUGAGUAGCGAGAAUGCAGUGAGAAUCUGCAUGGCCGAAAACCUAAGGUUUUUAGAGGAAGGUUCGUCCGCUCUAAGUUAGCCGGGAGCUAAGGCGAGGCCGAAAGGCGUAGUCGAUGCACAUACGGUGGAGAUUCCGUAGCCAGCGAAAAACUUAAGCACAGGGACACUUUUGAAGGGAUGGUGCCGGCUGUUGGUUGCCGGUCGUAAGGGACUGAAAAUAUAGUAGGGAAGUCCAUCUUGGAGAGAGGCGAGAAAAGCUGUGUGUAUGUUUUAGCUGCCCGUACCGCAAACCGACACAGGUAGGUAGGAAGAGGAUUCUAAGGCCAACGGGAGAAGGGUUGUUAAGGAACUCGGCAAGUUGACCCCGUAACUUCGGAAGAAGGGGUGCUCCAGCGAUGGAGCCGCAGAGAAUAGGCCCAAGCAACUGUUUAUCAAAAACACAGGUCUGUGCUAAAUCGAAAGAUGACGUAUACGGGCUGACGCCUGCCCGGUGCCGGAAGGUUAAGAGGAGAUGUGAGAGCAUUGAAUUGAAGCCCCGGUAAACGGCGGCCGUAACUAUAACGGUCCUAAGGUAGCGAAAUUCCUUGUCAGGUAAGUUCUGACCCGCACGAAUGGCGUAAUGAUUUGGGCACUGUCUCAACAGCCCGCCCGGCGAAAUUGUAGUACCGGUGAAGAUGCCGGUUACCCGCGGCAAGACGGAAAGACCCCAUGGAGCUUUACUGCAGCCUAAUAUUGGGUUUCGGCAUUGCCUGUACAGGAUAGGUGGGAGGCUUUGAAGCAGGGGCGUCAGCUUCUGUGGAGCCAUCCUUGGGAUACCACCCUUGUGAUGUUGGAAUUCUAACCUGCGGCCGUGAAUCCGGCCGGGGGACAUUGUUAGGCGGGCAGUUUGACUGGGGCGGUCGCCUCCUAAAAUGUAGCGGAGGCGUUCAAAGGUUGGCUCAGCACGGACGGAAACCGUGCCAGAGAGUGCAAACGCAAAAGCCAACUUGACUGCGAGGCUGACGGGCCGAGCAGGUACGAAAGUAGGAGUUAGUGAUCCGGCGGUAUGUGCGUGGAAAUGCCGUCGCUCAACGGAUAAAAGUUACCCUGGGGAUAACAGGCUGAUCUCCCCCAAGAGUCCACAUCGACGGGGAGGUUUGGCACCUCGAUGUCGGCUCAUCGCAUCCUGGGGCUGAAUUCGGUCCCAAGGGUUUGGCUGUUCGCCAAUUAAAGCGGUACGCGAGCUGGGUUCAGAACGUCGUGAGACAGUUCGGUCCCUAUCUGCCGUGGGCGCAGGAUAUUUGAUGGAGGCUGUCCCUAGUACGAGAGGACCGGGAUGGACGCACCUCUGGUGCACCAGUUGUCACGCCAGUGGCACAGCUGGGCAGCUAUGUGCGGUGUGGAUAAACGCUGAAAGCAUCUAAGCGUGAAGCCCAUCCAAAGAUAAGAUAUCCCACUGGAUAGCCAGGUAAGGCCCCUUGUAGACUACAAGGUUGAUAGGCACCAUGUGUACGCACAGUGAUGUGUUUAGCAAGGGUGUACUAAUAGGCCGAGGGCUUGACCUA